Small nucleolar RNA from Hibiscus syriacus, 104 nucleotides. The record is from RefSeq and is a predicted model, not a curated record. NCBI's taxonomy places the organism in Eukaryota, Viridiplantae, Streptophyta, Magnoliopsida, Malvales, Malvaceae.
AAUCCAUGCAUUCAACAUUUACACAAGUCUUUGAAUCUCUCCCAUGCCUCAUACAAGUUUUCAUCUUCUAAUUGCUUAAAACAUGUUAAGCCAUUUCAUAUAUU